This 428-nucleotide ribosomal RNA is filed under the name uncultured prokaryote. RNAcentral's name for it is "bacterial SSU rRNA". It matches the Rfam family "Bacterial small subunit ribosomal RNA", at positions 355 to 774 of the family's 1533-position model. The record is from RNAcentral.
UGGGGAAUCUUCCGCAAUGGGCGAAAGCCUGACGGAGCAACGCCGCGUGAAUGAAGAAGGCCUUCGGGUCGUAAAGUUCUGUCUUUAGGGAAGAAGUCUCUUUAUGUGAAUAAUGUAGAGAGGUGACGGUACCUGAGGAGGAAGCUCCGGCUAACUACGUGCCAGCAGCCGCGGUAAUACGUAGGGAGCAAGCGUUGUCCGGAAUUACUGGGCGUAAAGGGCGCGUAGGCGGGAUAUUAAGUUAGGUGUGAAAACUCCGGGCUCAACUUGGAGACUGCACUUAAAACUGGUAUUCUUGAGGACAGGAGAGGAAAGUGGAAUUCCUAGUGUAGCGGUGAAAUGCGUAGAUGUUAGGAGGAACACCAGUGGCGAAGGCGACUUUCUGGACUGUAACUGACGCUGAGAUGCGAAAGCUAGGGGAGCAAACG